RNAcentral lists this long non-coding RNA (204 nucleotides) under Elaeis guineensis (African oil palm). RNAcentral's name for it is "long non-coding RNA (EGUI_LNC029057)". The record is from RNAcentral. Lineage: Eukaryota; Viridiplantae; Streptophyta; Magnoliopsida; Arecales; Arecaceae.
AAAUUAUAUCCUAUAUAACGCACACCAAUAGGCCGUAUAUGUCAUUAAUUAUAGCUACUCAUAUUCAUAGCGGUGCACCAAAAUGAGUGUUUGAUGAAUGAGAUUCAUAGGAAAUAAUUGCUGUGAUUUGCAGUGUAUAUGGCCAUAUGAUCCAUAUAGUGUAGUGUAUAAUUUUUCCUCCAAAAGCGAUGCCAAUAAGGUGAA